This 510-nucleotide ribosomal RNA is filed under the name uncultured bacterium. RNAcentral describes it as "bacterial SSU rRNA". It matches the Rfam family "Bacterial small subunit ribosomal RNA", at positions 1 to 487 of the family's 1533-position model. The record is from RNAcentral.
GCUAGAUUGCGGAUCCGCGGCCGCAGAGGUUUAUCCUGGCUCAGGAUGAACGCUGGCGGCGUGCUUAACUCAUGCAAGUCGAACGGGGGUCAUCGGGUGGAACUUUUCGGAGGGAAGCCUUAUGACUCGAGUGGCGGACGGGUGAGUAACACGUGAGUAACCUGCCUUUUGCUGGGGAAUAACUGUGGGAAACCAUGGCUAAUACCGCAUACUGUGUCUACAAGGCAUCUUGUGGAUAUGAAAGGAGCAAUCCGGCAGAAGAUGGGCUCGCGUCCGAUUAGGUAGUUGGUGGGGUAAUGGCCUACCAAGCCUGCGAUCGGUAGCCGGACUGAGAGGUCGAACGGCCACAUUGGGACUGAGACACGGCCCAGACUCCUACGGGAGGCAGCAGUGGGGAAUUUUGGGCAAUGGAGGAAACCCUGACCCAGCGACGCCGCGUGAAGGGACGAAGGCCUUCGGGUUGUAAACUUCUUUAGGGGAGGGACGAAAAAUGACGGGUACCUCCAGAAU